Molecule: ribosomal RNA, 440 nt
Filed under: uncultured bacterium
Lineage: Bacteria
Description: partial 16S ribosomal RNA
Rfam family: Bacterial small subunit ribosomal RNA
Source: RNAcentral
CCUACGGGAGGCAGCAGUGGGGGAUAUUGCACAAUGGGGGAAACCCUGAUGCAGCGACGCCGCGUGUGGGAAGACGGUCUUCUGGAUUGUAAACCACUGUCCUCAGGGACGAAAAUGACGGUACCUGGGGAGGAAGCUCCGGCUAACUACGUGACAGCAGCCGCGGUAAUACGUAGGGAGCAAGCGUUGUCCGGAAUUACUGGGUGUAAAGGGAGCGUAGGCGGGGAUGCAAGUUGGGUGUCAAAACUACCGGCUCAACCGAUAGUCGCACUCACAACUGCAACUCUUGAGUGAAGUAGAGGCAGGCGGAAUUCGUAGUGUAGCGGUGAAAUGCGUAGAUAUUAGGAGGAACACCAGUGGCGAAGGCGGCCUGCUGGGCUUUUACUGACGCUGAGGCUCGAAAGUGUGGGGAGCAAACAGGAUUAGAUACCCCAGUAGUC